GCACAUCGUCAGUAUCGCAACGUGCGUGUAACAGCGAAAUUUACCAACAAACUGCACACAAUCCGCGCCGGACGGUAGUGGUAUGAUGCAAAUACCUAUUCCAGAUUACUCAUUACUGGCUGAUCAGGUCAGUCGAGUGUUUACCCCGAAGCUAGUCAGUUGUAGGUUUGAACUACGCUCCCUGUGUAGUAGUAGUCAAAAUCGCACACAUUCCCCGAAGUACAAAGUACGGCUAAUAAUGGCCUCCCGUGAAGACGAGAAAUACAUUCUGUACGGUGGACCAGAUCCGCUAGAAUUCCUGCAGGAUGGAUCGCUCGGGGAAAUGAUGCUGAAGGAAUUCCUCGUUAAACCAGAUAAUAUUGGAUUGAUUGAUCCCGUGACCGAGGUUCAACUCACCUACCGGCAAAUCCUGCAGCAAUCAAUUAAGGUUGCGGUUGCUUUGACGCGGUUGGGCAUACAGAAAACAGAUCGUGCCGCCAUCAUCAGUGACAACUGUUUAGAGUUCUGUAUCGCAGAGUUCGGUUCCAUAUUUGCAUCGAUUCCGGUCGCCCUAUUGAACCCUGCCUACGUGGAAGCUGAGCUUGAACACGCAAUCAAUCUAUCCAAACCGAAAGUUGUUUUCGUUUCCGCUAACGUUCUGGCUAAGAUAGCUGGGACGUUCAGGAAACUGAAACUCGCUGCGAGAAUGGUGGUUUUGGGUGAAGCCUCAAACAUAGCUAACUUCCCCGAGGCAAUUAGUUUCUCCAAACUGUUAGAGGAAACGAAUCCACCUAGCAACUUUAUGCCUGAACCUGUGGACGUUAAAUCUCAGGUGGCAGUGAUAGUGCUUUCCUCUGGAACAACCGGAUUGCCGAAAGGGGUUGAGCUGACUCAUUUAAAUAUUAUGACUACGGUUGCCCACGCAAAAGAAACUCGCAAAAUACUUGAUGAAAUUCCUGACCAGUUGAACACUUUGGCCGUAACUCCUUUGUUCCAUGCCAUGGCAGCAGUCAGUAUGAUCAACAUGGUCACUAACGAUUGCCGAUGCGUUGUUCUGACCAAAUUCGACAUUGUACUAUUUCUAGAAAGCAUUCAAAAGUAUAAGGUUAAUUUAAUGACGGUGGCGCCUCCGUUGUUGGUUUUUCUGGCCAAGCAUCCCAUUGUCGACAAUUAUGAUCUGUCUUCGCUGAUUACCUUGAUUUGUGGAGCAGCUCCUCUGAGCAAGGAAAUUGAAGACCGUGUACGGGAUCGAAUCGGAGUGGCUUUCAUUAGGCAGGGAUAUGGACUAAGCGAGACUACACUGGGAGUGCUAAUGCAAACUGGUUUCGAAAAUAAAGCGGGAUGUGUUGGACAAAUUCGGAUGGGCCAGUGGGUUAAGGUCAUUGACCCAGAAACGGGGAAAAUUCUGGGCCCGAAUCAACGGGGAGAAUUGUGCUUCAAGGGAUCACUCAUCAUGAAGGGAUAUGUGGACGAGGAAACGGUCAUUGAUGCAGAUGGUUGGCUGCACACCGGAGACAUUGGAUAUUAUGACGAUGAGCAUGAUUUUUUCAUCGUCGAUCGGAUCAAGGAGCUCAUCAAGUACAAAGGAUUUCAAGUUCCGCCGGCUGAAUUGGAAGCCAUUCUAAUUAAAAAUCCUAAGAUUAAGGAUGCUGCUGUGAUAGGGAUAGCAGACGAACGGGUCGGGGAGCUGGCGACCGCUUUUGUUGUUAAGGAAGAUGAUGUUGAGAUCACCGCCGAGGAAAUUGUGCAGUACAUGGCCAGUCAGGUAUCGCCUCAGAAACAGCUGCACGGUGGAGUGAGAUUCAUAGAUGAAGUCCCUCGAACAAUCAGCGGGAAAAUUUUGCGCAGAGAGUUGCGAGAAUUUAUUAAGAAUACUAAAUCGAAGCUGUAAUUGUUACAGGCAAUCAUAGCUGAAGGAAUAUAUUAUAUUAAACUGCUUUUCAGUUUAAUAUAUUUUGAAAGUAUUUUUUUACUUCAUAUCUGUGGAUAAUUGGAAAGUUACUAAUCUACCUGAUAUCACACAUUGAGACUUGUUUUAUACUUUAAACUUUUCGGAAGCAGCGUUAAAGGCGUUUAUGUGCACUAGCGGCUCGUUUAGGUAGUUACCUAAGACACUAGUGCUCAUAAAUGAUUUUGCUACACUUCCUGAAUGUGGUGCACUAGCGCGACUACCUGAAAAUUAAAGCUAUUCCAAUAAGUGUAUUAGGUUAUUCCAGGGAACGUUCAAAUUGGCUGUAAAGAAACUAAUGAGCGAUAAUGACUGCUACUCGUAUGCUUAUGUAGGACAAGCUAGUUAAUCAUAUUUUAUCAUCCUAUAUCUUCCUAGUCGGGAAUCGAACAAACGAUGACAAGCUUAUAAGAUCAGCGCCCUACCUGUUGUACUUUGUACCUCCAGGCUUCAACAUUCCGGUGCUGUCAUAUUUUCCGCUUCGAUUAAU
Topomyia yanbarensis is the source of this 2417-nucleotide RNA transcript. It is a transcript of the gene named luciferin 4-monooxygenase-like, with no coding region annotated. Lineage: Eukaryota; Metazoa; Arthropoda; Insecta; Diptera; Culicidae. The transcript has 4 exons. The record is from RefSeq and is a predicted model, not a curated record.